This 859-nucleotide long non-coding RNA is filed under the name Androctonus crassicauda. The record is from RNAcentral. Lineage: Eukaryota; Metazoa; Arthropoda; Arachnida; Scorpiones; Buthidae.
GGAAAAUAUUAUUUAUAUAUAUAUAUUUCCCUUAAGUGAUUCUCUAAGAAGCCAGAGCACGUUUUUACGAACAUAUUACUUACCUAUAAUCUUGUGUCAUUUAUGAUAUAUAUAUUUAUAAUUUGCACUUCCUAAAAUAUCAGUUCUAAUCCGUUUGCAAUAACGUCUUAUCCAAUUGUAAACAUUGACGGAAGAGAACACGUGUUUCAAGAUAAUUUAAAUAAAACCUUUCUCUUUUACAGUUUAAAUGUGUUAUUUUUCAUGAGCGAAUCAUUUUAGUAGUGCUAUUCCGAUGCAGCCAAUCACGACAUGCUAUUUUCUGCUAACAAAUCAUUGAUUGCUCUAUCCUUUACCAUCUGCCAAUAAGUUCAAAGUUUCAAGCGGUAUUUAUCAGGGAAGACCAAUGAGCGAAGUGUAGAUACAAUAAUGAUAUUGUAUCGCAACCAGUUACGUUUAGAAGCAUAGGUUAGACAUGCGAAUGAAUUCAAGCAAUGCAAUUCCUCAUAAUGAUGUCUUUAUUCGUGUAUAGAUUUUUUCUAUGAAAAAAGCAAUGAUACAAGUUAAUUAUUUUAAAUUACAUAACACCCAUCCAAUCGGGUAUUUAAAAAUAUUUAGUUGCCUCGGUGGAUUAGGUCCUAUAUUAAAUAUGUCAGGUCAAGUUUUAAGCUAUUCGAAAAUACAGAUAGGUAUGCUCCGUAUAUUACAUAAGUCUAGCGAUAAGAGCGAUGGGGUUAUAUAUGUUGUUAUUAAAUAGGAGGAAAGGGAAGUGAUACACCUUCGCCUUGAAGCUAUUCAAAAAUUCUCGUUUGAAAGUUUUGUUCCAAAUAUUUUAAUUUGGAUGAUGUUGAAACAAAAAAAA